UACGUAGGGACCAAGCGUUGUUCGGAUUUACUGGGCGUAAAGUGUGCGCAGGCGGCCGCUCAAGUCGAGUGUGAAAUCCCCGAGCUUAACUUGGGAAUUGCGCUCGAAACUAAGUGGCUGGAGUGUGGCAGAGGAAGGUGGAAUUCCACGUGUAGCGGUGAAAUGCGUAGAGAUGUGGAGGAACACCGAUGGCGAAGGCAGCCUUCUGGGCCAACACUGACGCUCAUGCACGAAAGCGUGGGGAGCAAACAGG
This 253-nucleotide ribosomal RNA is filed under the name uncultured prokaryote. RNAcentral's name for it is "partial 16S ribosomal RNA". It matches the Rfam family "Bacterial small subunit ribosomal RNA", at positions 524 to 776 of the family's 1533-position model. The record is from RNAcentral.